CAGUCGCCGCGGUAAUACAGAGGGUGCAAGCGUUAAUCGGAAUUACUGGGCGUAAAGCGCGCGUAGGUGGCUUGUUAAGUUGGAUGUGAAAUCCCCGGGCUCAACCUGGGAACUGCAUCCAAAACUGGCAAGCUAGAGUAUGGUAGAGGGUGGUGGAAUUUCCUGUGUAGCGGUGAAAUGCGUAGAUAUAGGAAGGAACACCAGUGGCGAAGGCGACCACCUGGACUGAUACUGACACUGAGGUGCGAAAGCGAGGGGAGCAAACAGGAUUAGAUACCCCAGUAGUCCCUGUCUCUUAUAC
RNAcentral lists this ribosomal RNA (301 nucleotides) under uncultured bacterium. Its description in RNAcentral is "partial 16S ribosomal RNA". It matches the Rfam family "Bacterial small subunit ribosomal RNA", at positions 509 to 807 of the family's 1533-position model. The record is from RNAcentral.